This 253-nucleotide ribosomal RNA is filed under the name uncultured bacterium. RNAcentral's name for it is "partial 16S ribosomal RNA". It matches the Rfam family "Bacterial small subunit ribosomal RNA", at positions 524 to 776 of the family's 1533-position model. The record is from RNAcentral.
UACGUAGGGGGCGAGCGUUAUCCGGAAUUACUGGGUGUAAAGGGUGCGUAGGCGGUACGGCAAGUUUGAUGUGAAACCCGCGGGCUUAACCCGAGGCAUGCAUCGAAAACUACUGAACUAGAGUGCAGGAGAGGAAAGCGGAAUUCCUAGUGUAGCGGUGAAAUGCGUAGAUAUUAGGAAGAACACCAGUGGCGAAGGCGGCUUUCUGGACUGCAACUGACGCUGAGGCACGAAAGCGUGGGGAGCAAACAGG